RNAcentral lists this ribosomal RNA (253 nucleotides) under uncultured bacterium. RNAcentral describes it as "partial 16S ribosomal RNA". It matches the Rfam family "Bacterial small subunit ribosomal RNA", at positions 524 to 776 of the family's 1533-position model. The record is from RNAcentral.
UACGUAGGUGGCAAGCGUUAUCCGGAUUUAUUGGGCGUAAAGGGAAAGCAGGCGGUCUUUUAAGUCUGAUGUGAAAGCCUUCGGCUUAACCGGAGUAGUGCAUUGGAAACUGGGAGACUUGAGUGCAGAAGAGGAGAGUGGAACUCCAUGUGUAGCGGUGAAAUGCGUAGAUAUAUGGAAGAACACCAGUGGCGAAAGCGGCUCUCUGGUCUGUAACUGACGCUGAGGUUCGAAAGCGUGGGUAGCAAACAGG